Molecule: long non-coding RNA, 181 nt
Organism: Helianthus annuus (common sunflower)
Lineage: Eukaryota; Viridiplantae; Streptophyta; Magnoliopsida; Asterales; Asteraceae
Exons: 3
Source: RefSeq, a predicted model, not a curated record
UCUACAGGAUUUUACGCAGCAGCCACCCGCACAGGAACUUAUUGCACGGGCCUACAUGACUUCGAAUGGAAGUUCAGACAUAUUUUUCGCGGGCAGCCCAAACGUCACCUUGUUUUAUGCAUGGCAGCCGCAACAAGUUUAUACGGGCCACAAGAAAUGGAUUACUGGUAUAUCUUAGGAA